UNCCCAGGGGCUUAACCAUGAUCAAGAUUCU
This 31-nucleotide non-coding RNA is filed under the name Mus musculus (house mouse). Lineage: Eukaryota; Metazoa; Chordata; Mammalia; Rodentia; Muridae. The record is from RNAcentral.